AUUAUUAUUAUUAUGGCUCUACCUGUAUUAGCAGGAGCUAUUACAAUGAUUUUAACUGAUCGAAACUUCAA
This is a non-coding RNA of Trichosporon asahii var. asahii CBS 2479, 71 nucleotides long. Lineage: Eukaryota; Fungi; Basidiomycota; Tremellomycetes; Trichosporonales; Trichosporonaceae. The record is from the annotation of a RefSeq genome assembly.